This 280-nucleotide unclassified non-coding RNA is filed under the name Hevea brasiliensis (rubber tree). The record is from RNAcentral. Lineage: Eukaryota; Viridiplantae; Streptophyta; Magnoliopsida; Malpighiales; Euphorbiaceae.
AUACAAACAAGUGAGCUCUUUUGAGUACCGAGUUCAAUACAUCCAUGACAAGUCUUGCCGGAAUGAUACAGAUCUUGCUGCUCCUUGAACACCCCUUUCAGAAAUUUGUGGACAAUCUUCCACAGUCAAGAUUUCCAACUUGCAUGACUCAACAAGAGGCUUUAAACCAUCAUCAGUAAUUCCCAAACACUUUCUUAACCGUAAUAUGCAUAAGCAAGGAAACUGGCUCACAAGCUGCAGCCCCUCAUCACUGAUUUCUUGGCAUCUGACAAGCUCCAAA